ACUCCCCCCAGCUCAGGACUUGAAAUCCUACCAAUCCUCACCCUGGAAAUUGCUGCCCUGGAAAGCUCUACCCCAACUAGAGGCGUUGUAAAAUCCCUGGAACUGGGAGGCACGUUUCUCAUCCGAGUGCUCCACGGGGAGAGGUCUACACAAGGACAUCACAGACGUGCCCAGAAUGGCCCUCAGCACUAAAAAGCCACUUCAGCAGGACAGAAGGGAAUAAGUGGGACUCAAGCCUUUUCUUGAUAAUGGAGUUUAUCUACAAGCCUGGAGAUGUGUAUGAUUAAGCACUAUGGGAUGGAUUUUUCCUGGCUCUGAAAGGCUCUGAGCUGCCUGAAGUGCAGAUGUUGGAUGGGGCUGUCUGAGAAAGAGGCCUUGUUGUCUCAGGGCUUUAAUCACUCCCAGCAAGUCUGAAGCCCCACAGAGUCCUCCUCCUCACCUUACCCGGAGCACUGAACGCCUGUACUCACGACACUGCUGUGGAAAUGAGAAAUGGCAACCCGCUUUUCCUUCUCCAAGUCUGCCCUUAAAAAUAUUCUUCCUUAGGAAGAUGCAAUUAAGUAUUAUGGAAAUAAAAAGCUUUUAUUGCGG
This is a long non-coding RNA of Mastomys coucha (southern multimammate mouse), 591 nucleotides long. RefSeq lists it as uncharacterized. The transcript has 2 exons. NCBI's taxonomy places the organism in Eukaryota, Metazoa, Chordata, Mammalia, Rodentia, Muridae. The record is from RefSeq and is a predicted model, not a curated record.